GUCAGGCGUGCAGAUCUGUCACGGCUGCCCUCGACUUGCUGGGGGAGGGGCGUACAUUGACCGCGAAGGCUGCACGUAGUUCGGGUACCAAGGGCGGGAGGCGUGGUGCGCCCGGCGACCCGGAAGCGGGAGGCCAGCGGACCCAGCGGCCUGCGGACGGGACCCGGAUCGCACCCGCGAGAUGGCGGCGGCGACCGUGAGCAGCGCCAAGCGGAGCCUGCGGGCCGAGCUGAAGCGGCGUCUGCGGGCGCUGAGCGCCGAGGAGCGGCUGCGCCAGUCCCGCCUCUUGGCCCAGAAGGUGUUUACCCAUAGUCAAUAUCAAAAGUCCAAAAGAAUCUCCAUCUUUCUGAGCAUGCAAGAUGAAAUUGAAACAGAAGAGAUCAUCAAGGACAUUUUCCAACAAGGCAAAACCUGCUUUAUCCCACGGUACCAGUUCCAGAGCAAUCACAUGGAUAUGGUGAAAUUAGCAUCGCCUGAGGAAAUCUCUUCACUUCCCAAAACAUCCUGGAAUAUUCAUCAGCCCAGUGAGGUUGAGGUUCGGGAGGAGGCCUUGUCCACAGGUUCUCUGCUUUCCAGCACUACAAGUGAACCUGUAGAGAUGAGAGUCUACCAGGUUGACCCAGUUGAAAGUUGUAACGGCCGGAGGAAUCUCUGUUCGUCUACUCAGACCAGACCUGGGCGCCCACUCAGCACAGGCUCCGGAUGCGCAGACUCAGCGGCCAUGGCUCACGGACCCAGCCGUUCCGUGGCAUGUGGGAUCUUCCCGGACCGGGGCACGAACCCAUGUCCCCUGCAUCGGCAGGCGGACUCUCAACCACUGCACCACCAGGAUAUGCAUCAAACAGGAACUCAGGAUGGAGAAGAUUCCAUACGUGUAUACCCUGAGAAAACCAUAAUUCAAAAAGAGUCAUGUACCACAAUGUUCACUGCAGCACUAUUUACAAUAGCCAGGACAUGGAAGCAACCUAAGUGUCCAUCGACACAUGAAUGGAUAAAGAAGAUGUGGCACAUAUAUACAAUGGAAUAUUACUCCAUCAUAAAAAGAAACAAAACUGAGUUAUUUGUAGUGAGGUGGAUGGACCUAGAGUCUUAACUUCACUUCAUACAAAGUGAAUUAAGUCAGAAGGAGAAAAACAAAUACCAUAUACUAACACAUACGUAUGGAACCUGUAUAAUUCUUGAUGGACUUAAAAUAUCCCUGAAAAUUCUAAAAUAGCAUCAUGGAAUAUGAGAAUUCAGAGAGAACUUGCUGAUUCUCAAGUUAAAUCAUCUUGACUGUCUUACUGUUGUUGCUUGUUCAUAUGUUUGUUUUUAAUGGAGAAACCGAGGUCCAGAAGAAGGAGGUGACGUCUCAAAGUCACAGAAUAUUUGAGCACAGUGGAGGGCAGAUCCCAGCCCUAAUCAUCUCCUACAACAUGACCAUGGCAUUUGUGUGGCAUGACGUACGUCAUGCACCCAUUUUGUAAAUUAGACGAUGGAGUGAAUGGAGGAAAGGAAGUUUCCUGCUUUCUGUUAUUAUAUCUGCCCCACAGGCUAUAACAGUAUGACAUAGUCUAGUUACAGCAGGCAUUUCUCCCAUUGACGUUGCCCGCUUAGGAGAGUGGGGCCGGAAGAGGGUCUAGAUUGCCAGUAUUUGUGACCUGUAUCAGGAGGGGCUGAUGGCAGGAGACCCUAAUGAAAACUGCCAAGAUAAGGCAUUAUCUUCACUGUCAAGCAUAGAAUUACAAGUAGUGUUUUUCUGGUUAUCAAUUACUUAUACAGUUUUCCCCAGUCAUUCAGAAACUUGGUCCUCUACCUCACCAAGGGACAGGGGAGACUCAGAGCGAGGAACGAAUGCUUUUCUGUUCUCACGUGCUUGAGUUUUGCUGCUGUACUCCUCAUUCUGAAGGACAAAGUGUGCUAAUGACCAAACUUUAAGAGCUGAUUCAAGUCUGAUGUGUUCCAUCUCACCAUUAAAAAAAAAAAAAAAAAAAAGUGAAGCCCUACAGCCAGGUCCAAAAAGGGAGCUGUACACUACCAUAUGAUCCUGCAACCCCACUCCUGGGCAUAUACCUGGAGAAAAGCAUGGUCCAAAAGGAUACAUGCACCCCAGUGUUCAUAGCAGCACUGUUUACAAUAGCCAAGACAUGGAAACAACCUAAAUGUCCAUCAACAGAAGAAUGGAUGUGGUAUAUAUAUAUAUAUAUAUAUAUAUAUAUAUAUAUAUAUAUAUACACACACAUAAUGGAAUAUUACUCAGCCAUUAAAAAAGAAUGAAAUAAUGCCAUCUUCAGCAACAUGGGGUGGACCUAGAGAUUGUCAUACUGAGUGAAGUAAGUCAGACAGAGAAAGAGAAAUAUCAUAUGAUGUCGCUUAUAUGCAGAAGCUAAGAAAUCAUACAAAUGGAUUUAUUUACAAACAGAAACAGACUCACAGACUUAGAGAACAAACUUAUGGUUACCAGCGGGGAACGGGGGGAGGAGGGAUAGUUAGGGAGUUUGAGACUGACAUAUACACACUGUUAUGUUUAAAAUGGAUAACCAACAAGGACCUACUGCAUAGCACAGGGAGCUCUGCUCAAUAUUCUGUAACAAUCUAAUUGGGAAAAGAAUUUGAAAAAGAAUAGAUACAUGUAUAUGUAUAAUUGAAUCACUUUGUUGUACAUCUGAAACUAACACAACAUUGUUAAUCAACUGUACUCUAAUACAAAAUAAAAAGUUAAAAAAUAAAAUAAAACAGUGUGUCAGAAGUUAAGAUUAAAACAAAACAAAACAAAAAGGUAACUGUACAGGUAUAGGUGUGGGCAAUGCAACUGAAAGUUAGCCACUGUCCAGCUGUCUGUACAUUUAACGAGUAAACACGUGAUUGGAUUCUGAAGACACCCACAUGGUGUGAAAGUGCUGUGGAGUGUGUGUGGUCUGGAAACAGAAAGACCAAUGUUCUGACAUUUACUGACAUAUCUGACAUUUACUCACUGCUCACCUUUGGUUUUCUAAUCUAUAGAAGGGCAAUAACACAAGGUCAUUGCCAAUCCUUGGUGAGCUGAAGAAAAGUGAUUAGGAAGGGAAGAGGACCAAAACCCACCUUGCAGGUUCCUUUAGCAAUCAGGUAGGGUGACUUAUUUAAAGGACCUAGUGCUUAAGAUUUUCAUUACGUGGUUAGGACAAGUUAUGGUGAAGAGUCCAGUAGAAGCACACAGGCUUGAAGUCAAGUUUCACUUAGGUAUGUAUCAGAUAUUUAGAUUUUCAUUUAGGUCAUUUACUUAGUUGUAUGACCUUCAGCAAAUUCCUGCCCCUCUUUGAGUCUCCUCAUGGGAAAAUGGGGAUUAAAGACCAAUCUUAUGGUACUGUUUAAGGUCCUACUGCAGCUGCAUUGAAAGAGACACGGUUCACUAAGUCUGUGAGUCUGUUUCUGUUUUGUAAAUAAGUUCAUUUGUAUCAUUUCUUUUUAGAUUCUGCAUGUAAGCGAUAUCAUAUGAUAUUUCUCUUUCUCUGACACUUCACUCAGUAUGACAAUCUCUAGAUCCAUCCAUGUUGCUGCAAAUGGCAUUAUUUCAUUCUUUUUAAUGGGUAAUUCUGGACUUAUGCCAAUAAUUGGGCCAUAUCUUGACCCUGCAAUCCUACUCCUGGGCAUAUAUCCAGAGAAAACGAUGGCCUGAAAGGAUCCGUGCACCCCACUGCUCAUUGCAGCACGAUUUACAAUAGCCAAGACAUGGAAGCAACCUAAAUGUCCAUCAGCAGAGGAAUGGAUGAAGAAGAUGUGGUACAGAUCCACAAUGGAAUACUACUCGGCCAUAAGAAAGGACAAAAUAAUGCCAUUUGCAGCAACGUGGAUGGACCUAGAGAUUGUCAUACUGAGUGAAGUAAGUCAGACAGAGAAAGAGAAAUAUCAUAUGAUAUCCCUUAUAUGCGGAAUCUAAAAAGAAAUGAUACAAGUGAACUUAUUUACAAAACAGAAACAGACUUGCAGACUUAGAGAAUGAACUUAUGGUUACCGGGGGGAUGGGUGGGGGGAAGGGAAAAAGAAAAAGAAUUGGGCCAUAUCUUCCGAGCUAACUGAGCUAUUGAGAGCUUAGAUGAGCCCAGAAUUUUGGAACCUAUAAGAACCUCAAAAAUCAAGGAGUCCAGUCCCUCAUCUAUAAUUUCAGUUUCUUCUACAAUAUUCCUACAGUUGAUUUCAUGAAAACGGGUAAGAGUUCCUAGGAAUGGAGGUAUCAUGAGAAAAUAAGAUGAUGUUAUUUUUGCUAAAUUUUAGAUGUGGUAGGGAUGGAGAUUUAAGAACCACGGGCUCCAAGGAAGCCUGUGACCCGUCUCAAGCUGACAUCUAUUGGUGGUGUUCCUGUCCUUCAUUAGUACAGAUAAUGGGACAUGCAAUUCAGACUCUGUUACAAUGAGCACUACGGCAACCGGAAUUUUUGCCUAAUGAAACAGUUGCCGAGCUUCAACCCACAGCCCUCUGAUUCCACACACCAAUCAUCCCAGCAAACUCAAAUAAAAGAAUCCGGACAGUUCACUGAAAUUCACUGUGAUCCUAUUUGUCUCAGAAUUCAAACCACAUUAAGUGGGGAUGUGUGACAGUUCAUCUGGGCUCCUUUGCUUUGGCUUGCUGUGCGAAUCAGGAAUGGAUACCAGGGCAAUAUUUAACCCAGUGGAACAUGAGUAAAUACACGGAAACAACAUCCAAGUCCUCUUCAAACCGCUUUGGCAACGGUGAGAUUGAGGACAAGUAAUGAAAGUGCUAAACACAAAUAAUUUCAAUUCUUUUAAAUGCUUGCUGGUUUCAGAGCUCAGCUACUCAAUAUUUCUCCCAUAGCAUCAGCAUCACAAGAAAUUAAUAUAUGUCCUAUGGUCGAAUUUUUUCAAGUCUUUACCAUUUUCUCACUACCUCCUAUUCAGGGAACAUGUGAAGCUUUGUGAUAUGAAGACUCAGGGGAGCUUGGGAGGGCCUCUGGGAUUAUGGAAUCUGUGGUUUUAAUGCCUCGCAUGAGAAGAUGAGUUGUUAGGUCCCCAUUUCACAGGGACAAAGCCAGAUGGCAGAAAUUAAGAUUUGGGGAUUCAGAGAACAGCAACACAUGUUUAUGCUCUUGAGAAUAAACUUGGGAACAUCUGGUAAGGACAUGCAAUGCAUCUUUAGGGGCCAGGGUUAUCCUAUUCACUAGAAUGCAGAAGGGCAAAGUGGACGCUCUGGAGACGCAAGCUUGGGUUUGUAUCGCAGCUCUGCUCCCUAGACGUUGAGUCCCCUUAGCCUACAGACCUCCCCUGAUUGCCUCCCUGUAAGAUCACCUGUAAAAGGGAGGAAACUCCAGACUCCCAGGAUGUGGGAGGAUUGCUGGGAGGAGAUGGGGUAAUGCAUCCACAGCAGCCAGCUUGGUGCCUGACACGGACUCCUACUCACUGUGAUUCUCUUCCCCCUCAAGGAGCACUUGGGUUUACCCAUGUGCACACAGAGUCCCUGGAAACAGUACAUUCAAGCGACCAGUCUGGGGGCCCUUUAAAAAAAGAAGCAUCUACAGGAACAGUUAUGGGAAUGAUUGAUUAACUUUAACCAGUACAAUUCAUUAUGAAGGCCAGGAGGGAAGAUAUUCCCGUGACAAAUUGCUCGGCUGUUUUUUUUUCUGUCUUUACAUGAACACAUUUGUCAGCACAAGAGGUGGAGAGAAAAAUAAACGAAAGAAGUUCUAAUGUCAAAGAGACCUCUGAUUGAUUUAGUUCUGCAUGACUUUCUCAUUCAGAAUGAGACAAGGUAGUCUGUACGUAUGAGGAUAGCCCUUCCCCAGGACAGGAGAAUGGCCAGGUGACCUCAGGAGGUGGCUCCGGAGUAUCGUCCGCCCAGCCCUCAGCUUCUGUUCCCCCCCCACCUCUUUUUUCAGCAGGGAUGCUGGAAGAAAAGAGGGAGGGGGCAAAGAUAAAUGAAAGUAGUAUUUCCUUCUUUGACGAUGGCCUGAGUGUAUGAUGGCUAAGAACUUCAGCUUCAAAGUUGGAGAAAUCUGGAUUUGAAUCAAGUCCAAGUUCAAAGUUGGUAGCUGUGUAACUUCGGAUCUAUUUACAAAUCGCUCUGAGCCUCAGUUUCUGCAUUUAUAAAAUGGGCAUAACAAUACUUGCUUAUUAAAGAUGGGGUAAAUACUGAGUGAGACAAAUGACAUUUAUCGAUGUCUGAUAUUCUAUUCUAUUAUUCUUCAGCUUCUUUGUAUAUCUUAUGUAUCCCCACUCAAUUAUAAUUAGGGUAGGAAAACUGUGUGUUUUGUUCACCCCUGUAUUCUCAGCAUCUAGGACUCUGUCUAGCACAUAGCUGGCACUUUAUUAAGAUUGAUUAGAUGAAUAAAGAGUUUAGCCCAGUGUCGUUAUAUAGUAAGAUCUCAAGGUACAAUGGCUUUCAAACAUGCAGUGAAGGGGUGAAGGAAUCUUUGAGAUCUGAGAAGCCAACUUAGAUUUUGCUUUGAAAGGCAGCAUAGCAGAGUCAACAAGAAUGUGAACUCUGAUUCCACAACACCUGGGUUUAAAUUCCACAUCCCCACUUUUUAACCUUGGAUGAGUUACCUGACCCCUCUGGGCCUCUGUCUCCUCCACUGAAAAACUGGGUUGGCAAUAACAAUAGUACCCACUUCAAAGAAUGGUGGUGCACACGAGCGUGAUGCUUGGCUCAUUGUAAGAGUCUACUGUUCUUAGUUGGCCGUGGAUGGAGUGAGCUGACACGAAGAAGGGGCAUAACACAGCUGGAAUCAUCAAAUCCCAUGGGUCUUGAAUGAGCGUCAGAAGUCACGGCCAACUAGACUUUCAGAGGUGAGACCUGGGGCCUGGGCUGGUGUCAGGCCUGUGUAUCCCAUCCUGGGACUGAGGUUCGCUGCAGUUCCAGUCCCGUGGCAGGUCUGGGGAGGGUCCUUCCCUGUGGACGAGGCCUCCUUAAAGGCACAGGGUCUCACACUGGGGUGGGCACCACGGAGAGCACAAGGUGAUUCUCACUCCCAAGGAGGGCUUCUUUGAAAGCUCUUGUCACCUAGCUCACCACCCCGCACUCCGGGACUAAGAGCCUUUUAUUACAAGAUCCCAGGACACCUUUCCCCUUCCACGCGCGUGUGCCAUGGGGGUGAAGACUUGCUCCAUGUGUGUCUCUCCUGACAGACUCAGAUCAUGAGGCCAGGACCUGUGUCUGACUGUUCCCUCCUCUAGGCCCAGCAGCCGGCACUGUCCCUGGCACAUCAUAUGGCUUCAAUAAACAGUCUGUAGAAGGAAGGAAGAAAGGAAAGAAGGAGGGAGGGAGGGAGGGAAUCAGUUUAUAGGCAAACAAGGAAAGUCUAGGAACACGCAAAUGUUUGGCUGAAUUACACUUCCUGGGCCACAAAUGUGCCUCUUUGCUCUCUCUCUCUCUCUCUCUCUCUCUAAUUCAAUCCCUGCUGCUUGCAUUUCAGUAAUAAAACACUUCGGGUAUAACCUAUGCACCCGGAUUUCCCACGCAGACUCAGACACACAGGAGGUGGGUGCACUUGGGUCAGGACGCCCCACAGAAGAGCCCCAGCUGUGACCACAGGCAUUUGCAGACCCUGCACGAGGUUGGCUCCCACCUGACGGUGCCCUUCAGACCCGCACAGAACAUCCUCGUGCCCAAAGGUCUGGGGCCACUCUGAGGAGAGAUAGGGAACCAGGCCGGAGGAGCCAGAGCCCGAGCCUCAGGAAGCCUGGCACGUAGCUUGGAGCCAGCACUGCAGACAGUGAUUUAUUUCAGAGGGAUGUGUUUGCCUUCCAGCCGCACAGCCAGGGAGGCUUCUCUUCUCCACUGGCCAAGCACACAGACCCUCACACAUACACCCACACAUUCACACAAACAUAAACACGCUCUCUCACACCCAUACACGGAAACCCACACAAGCCUUGGGUAUACUAACACGCUCACACGCAUACUUACAACCACAUGCGGUGCACACGUUAAUCAUCCUGGCCAAAGUGAGAGAAGAGAAAACAUGAAGCCGUGUCCUGGCCUUUCACUUCCGCCCUCACGUGUGUGGCCCUCUUUGCUGAGCUCUGAGCCCCUCCCAUUAGGGAGCUGCUGAUGCUGACAGGCCCAGCUGGGCCUUGCGCGCCUUCCCAGUUGACCAGGUCUCCCUUGGCCAGGUCUCCCCAGUUGCUGGCUGCAGAAUUCCCCACACCAGCCCCUUCGGACCAUCCCUUUUCAUCCCUCUGUCUUUUUUUUUUUUUUUUUAUAAUAGUCAUGAGCAUUUAUUGAGCUUUUUUUUUUUAAUAUUGUUUUUUUUUUUUUCUUAUUGGGGUAUAGUUGCUUUACAAUGUUGUGUUAGUUUCUGCUGUACAACGAAGUGAAUCAGCUAUACGUAUACAUCUAUCCCCUCCCUCUUGGACCUCCCUCCCACCUCACCCCCAUCCCACCCAUCUAGGUCAUCACAGAGCACCGAGCUGAGCUCCCUGUGCUAUACAGCAGGUUCCCACUAGCUGUCUGUUUUACACAUGGUAGUGUGUAUAUGUCGAUCCCAAUCUCUCAAUUCAUCCCCCUCCCCGCCAUGUCCAUACAUCUGUUCCCUAAGUCUGCGUCUCUGUUCUUGCCCUGCAAACAGGUUCAUCUGUACCAUUUUUCUAGAUUCCGUAUACAUUCGUUAAUAUAUGAUAUUUGUUUUUCUCUUUCUGACUUACUUCACUCUGUUUGACAAUCUCUAGGUUCAUCCACGUCUCUACAAAUGACCCAGUUUUGUUCCUUUUUAUGGUUGAGUAAUAUUCCAUUGUAUAUAUGUACCACAUCUUCUUUAUCCAUUAGAGAAAUGCAGAUCAAAACUACAAUGAGGUAUCACCUCACACCAGUCAGAAUGGCCAUCAUCAAGAAGUCUACAAACAGUAAAUGCUGAAGAGGGUGUGGAGAAAAGGCAACCCUCUUGCACUGUUGGUAGGAAGGUAAAUUGAUACAGCCACUAUGGAGAAAAGUAUGGAGGUUCCUUAAAAAACUAAAAAUAGAAUUACCAUAUGACCCAGCAAACCCACCACUGGGCAUAUGCCCUGAGAAAACCCUAAUUCAAAAUGACACAUGCACCCCAAUAUUCGCUGCAGCACUAUUUACAAUAGCCAGGACAUGGAAGCAACCUAACUGCCCAUCACCUCUCUGUCUUUCCCAGCAAGUGAUAAACUCCCUGGCCUCCCUGUCCCCUCCAGCUCUUCUGCCCACCCACCACCACCACCCCCCGCCCCCGUCCCAGCAGGAGAUGGGCUGCAGGGCCUGGGGGAAGGAAGGAAGCGCACACACGGGCCUCAGAGUCGACCGACACAGGUCUGGUUCUUGCCUGCUUGCUUUCUGUCUGUGCAGAUUUGGGCAGGUCUGUCAGCCUGUCCUGAUCUUGAAUUUCCUCAUCUGCAGACCAUGACCCCUUGAAUCUGGGAUCAGUAAGUAAAUGAGAUAAGGAGCAGGACAGACACAGCGGGCGCGCUGUACCUGUUCAUGUCUUCACUCUGCUCUCUCUUCGCCAGGUGAAGCCCUCCAUCUGCACCUGGGUCCCUCUCCUUCAAAACACGAACCUUUCUGUCUGCUUGGGCUUCUGUCCCUUGACCUGUAACCAGGCCAUAAUCUUCUGCUUCCUAAAGAAAGCCUCCCUUGGGCUUCCCUGGUGGCGC
This is an RNA transcript of Globicephala melas (long-finned pilot whale), 9581 nucleotides long. It is a transcript of the gene named methenyltetrahydrofolate synthetase, with no coding region annotated. NCBI's taxonomy places the organism in Eukaryota, Metazoa, Chordata, Mammalia, Artiodactyla, Delphinidae. The record is from RefSeq and is a predicted model, not a curated record.